Molecule: non-coding RNA, 80 nt
Organism: Podarcis lilfordi (Lilford's wall lizard)
Lineage: Eukaryota; Metazoa; Chordata; Lepidosauria; Squamata; Lacertidae
Source: the annotation of a GenBank genome assembly
GGCUGGUUAGCUCAGUCGGUAGAGCAUGAGACUCUUAAUCUCAGGGCUGUGGGUUGGGUGAAAGAUUCCUCUAUUGGACU